RNAcentral lists this ribosomal RNA (458 nucleotides) under uncultured bacterium. Its description in RNAcentral is "partial 16S ribosomal RNA". It matches the Rfam family "Bacterial small subunit ribosomal RNA", at positions 338 to 795 of the family's 1533-position model. The record is from RNAcentral.
CCUACGGGCGGCAGCAGUGAGGAAUAUUGGUCAAUGGCCGGAAGGCUGAACCAGCCAUGCCGCGUGAAGGUCAGUGCCCUAUGGGCGUUAAACUUCUUUUGUGCGGGAGCAAUAAUGGUCACGUGUGGCCAGACGAGAGUACCGUACGAAUAAGCAUCGGCUAACUCCGUGCCAGCAGCCGCGGUAAUACGGGGGAUGCAAGCGUUAUCCGGAUUUAUUGGGUUUAAAGGGUGCGUAGGCGGAAUAUCAAGUCAGCGGGAAAAAUUCGGGGCUCAACCCCGUCGUGCCGUUGAAACUGAUGUUCUUGAGUGGGCGAGAAGUAUGCGGAAUGCGUGGUGUAGCGGUGAAAUGCAUAGAUAUCACGCAGAACUCCGAUUGCGAAGGCAGCAUACCGGCGCCCAACUGACGCUGAAGCACGAAAGCGUGGGUAUCGAACAGGAUUAGAUACCCUGGUAGUC